GACGCUACCGAGGGCGCUUAGCCCUUGACUAUCACCUUGACUACGUGCACCUUUUGUUGUUUCCUCGGCAGGUCACCUGCCGCCAGGAACCCCCUAAACCUUUUGUAAUAGCAUCCAAACUUCUGAAAACAAAUCAAAUUAUUUACAACUUUUAACAAUGGAUCUCUUGGUUCUGGCAUCGAUGAAGAACGCAGCGAAAUGCGAUAAGUAGUGUGAAUUGCAGAAUUCAGUGAAUCAUCGAAUCUUUGAACGCACAUUGCGCCCCAUGGUAUUCCGUGGGGCAUGCCUGUUCGAGCGUCAUUUACCCCCUCAAGCUCCGCUUGGUGUUGGGCGUCUGUCCCGCUUCGCGCGCGGACUCGCCCCAAAGGUAUUGGCAGCGGUCGUGCCAGCUUCUCGCGCAGCACAUUGCGCUUCUCGAGGCACCGGCGGGCCCGCGUCCAUCAAGCUCACCCCCCAGUUUGACCUCGGAUCAGGUAGGGAUACCCGCUGAACUUAAGCAUAUCAAUAAGCGGAGGA
This 516-nucleotide ribosomal RNA is filed under the name uncultured Pleosporales. RNAcentral describes it as "eukaryotic LSU rRNA". The stretch from base 147 to 300 matches the Rfam family "5.8S ribosomal RNA". The record is from RNAcentral. Lineage: Eukaryota; Fungi; Ascomycota; Dothideomycetes; Pleosporales.